This 460-nucleotide ribosomal RNA is filed under the name uncultured bacterium. Its description in RNAcentral is "partial 16S ribosomal RNA". It matches the Rfam family "Bacterial small subunit ribosomal RNA", at positions 338 to 795 of the family's 1533-position model. The record is from RNAcentral.
ACUACGGGCGGCAGCAGUGAGGAAUAUUGGUCAAUGGGCGCGAGCCUGAACCAGCCAAGUAGCGUGAAGGAUGAAUGCCCUACGGGUUGUAAACUUCUUUUAUAAGGGAAUAAAGUGAGGCACGUGUGCCUUUUUGUAUGUACUUUAUGAAUAAGGAUCGGCUAACUCCGUGCCAGCAGCCGCGGUAAUACGGAGGAUCCGAGCGUUAUCCGGAUUUAUUGGGUUUAAAGGGAGCGUAGAUGGGUUGUUAAGUCAGUGGUGAAAGUUUGCGGCUCAACCGUAAAAUUGCAGGUGAUACUGGCAGUCUUGAGUACAGUUGAGGCAGGCGGAAUUCGUGGUGUAGCGGUGAAAUGCUUAGAUAUCACGAAGAACUCCGAUUGCGAAGGCAGCUUACUAAACUGCCACUGACAUUGAUGCUCGAAAGUGUGGGUAUCAAACAGGAUUAGAUACCCCAGUAGUC